CAACAGUGUAGCAGUAGUACAUAGUAAAAACACGGCCAUUCAAGAGUUAGAACAAUACAGACACAGGUGGUUGGCUAAUGACACACCCAGCGCUGGCUCAUGUGGCUCUAAAAUAUCUGACCUGUAACCCAAACAGCUGUUUCCUCCAAGCAGCUUUUCAGUAUAGGAACAGAUGUUGUGUCGAAAAUAC
Anguilla anguilla (European eel) is the source of this 190-nucleotide long non-coding RNA. RefSeq lists it as uncharacterized. Lineage: Eukaryota; Metazoa; Chordata; Actinopteri; Anguilliformes; Anguillidae. The record is from RefSeq and is a predicted model, not a curated record. The transcript has 2 exons.